AAGCGCUUGCAACCAGACUUGAGCGCGGCGGUUCCCCUGGCCUUUUGGCCAGGUUACUCCGUCGUGUCCAGGCCAACAUCGGUUUUGGUGGGCGGAUAAAGGCCUUGGGAAUGUAGCUUCUUUCGGGGAGUGUUAUAGCCCUCGGUGCAAUGCGCCCUACCGGGACCGAGGACCGCGCUUCGGCUAGGAUGCUGGCGUAAUGGUUGUAAGCGA
Molecule: ribosomal RNA, 213 nt
Filed under: Hyaloscyphaceae sp.
Lineage: Eukaryota; Fungi; Ascomycota; Leotiomycetes; Helotiales; Hyaloscyphaceae
Description: partial large subunit ribosomal RNA
Source: RNAcentral